AUUUUUUUGUAUUUUUAGGGAUUAAUUUCUACUACUAAUUAAUGUAUUAUCAAUAACAGCCCAAUUAAAUGUAAAAAUCAAAUGGAAUCAAUUAAUUCUGAACCUGCCAGACCACGUAGCGACCCCAAUUAACACCAAACCAGCCCACUAACAUCCCCUUAAUGCUAAAUUAAGUUUGUUUGUAAUAAAAUCCAAUUAAAAUACACUCAGUACUCAUUUUUAUAAGUACUCAAAUAUACGUUCCUUUUCAUUUCAUCUUAUGUUACUAAUUCAAUCAAUCAUCAAUAUAUAUUACAUAGAAAAGGUGAUGUGGCACUUCUCUUUGGCCUCCAAUAGUAUUUAUCUUUUUUUCUCAAUUUUUUGACAUUUUUCCUAUUUUUCUUCACCUAUGUGCUAUUAAAAAAUAUUGAAAAGUCUCUUCUUAAAAUAAUUGCUCAAUAUUAACUACCAUUUGAUUUUGUUUUCCUAUCUUUAACAACCUUUAAGACCACCAUUAUCAUUUCAGUUAAAAAGAAUAUGGCACCGAAGAAUCCCUUCAAACAAUCCUUUUUAUAGAGGAACUCUAAACGUGAGUUUUUGCAGCCAUAGUUCGAAGGAAAAGAAGAAAUCUAAAGUUUCUCUGCAGUGGAGGCAGAAUAUUUUGUGACAUCUCUCAUUCAUGAACGCUAAACUACAAAAAGGACUUCGUCAUCUGAGGAGGAUUGAGAAAAACAUGUAAUUGAUUAACAAUGACUUUAAGUCUUUAAUAAAGAUGAAAUGAUGGUGCGGUCAGGAAAUGGGCCGAAGAGAUUGCAGUGGAGGCAGAAGCAGUGGCAAUGCAGUAAGAUUAGAUUCUGCACAAAUAUUUGGGUUCGCACUUGGAAUUGUUACAUGUAAUAAUAGAAACACCAAAAUUAAUUGAAUUCUCGAAAACUUAUCUUUUUUUUUUUUAAUGCUAUGAUAAUAUACACUGUUUCUCUUCCUGCUAAAAUUUGGGCAAUGAUGGCUCAAUUUUUUGUGGAGUUAGGGUGAG
Molecule: long non-coding RNA, 1012 nt
Organism: Lycium ferocissimum
Lineage: Eukaryota; Viridiplantae; Streptophyta; Magnoliopsida; Solanales; Solanaceae
Exons: 3
Source: RefSeq, a predicted model, not a curated record